Neopsephotus bourkii (Bourke's parrot) is the source of this 994-nucleotide long non-coding RNA. RefSeq lists it as uncharacterized. Lineage: Eukaryota; Metazoa; Chordata; Aves; Psittaciformes; Psittacidae. The record is from RefSeq and is a predicted model, not a curated record. The transcript has 3 exons.
UAUGAAGUACUUUAAUAACUCUAGUCCUGCUAAAGCUUUGAACAGCUGAUGAUUUUUAUGUAUUUCAUUUAGAAGCUGGGGUUCCACAGUGAUGAGAAGGGAUCUUCCUCAUUACUGACUGCUCUGAAGAAAGCCGAGGGGUGCAGCAGAUCCCGGCUCCAGUGAGGAAACCAGGGAGUUUUCUUCAGCAGCUCCAUAACCUGACAUGAGCAAAGGUUCUCUUGUGAGGGUUCCUCCUCUUACGGAGCAGGAAGAUGUUAUGCACGUGUGGCAAAAGAGGGACGAAGGGGGAAAUCUUUCCAAUCCCAGCUACUAAAAGGGAGAGUAUUUAAAUAUAAACAUUUAGAUGCCCAACUAGAUUUGGUUGCUAUUUCAGUUGUAUCUUACUGCAUCACCAUACCAGGGAACUUCAGUGACUAAAACUGCAGUGCAUGUGAGAAGGUGGAUGUAGGUAGAGAUGCAGUUAAAUCCUUGCUCACCUAACGUUUAUUAUGUGUCUUGUUGCACUGACAACUCCAGAAUGCUCCAGACCUGCCAAGUUUUCCUUAAUGAGAAUCUACUUCAGAAGCCUGGAGGAAAGAUCCAUACCCAAACAGCAGCAAUUAUUCCCUGAUGCUAUUAUACAGGUUUUGACUGCAGGAAGAGGAAGGACAGCUUGUGGAACAAACCUGUCAAAGCGAGCAUGGUAUAUAAAAGACCUUGCAUCUGAUGGCCAUUUAGAGGCAAGAUGACUGGCUGCUGAAACUUAUGAACCUGAUAAAGCAACGCCCCAGUGAUUCUUGUAAGUAAAUUCUAAUGCUUUCAACAGAUGGAGUGGGGGAAUCCCAAAUGAUUUUAUACCCGGUAAGAAAUCGCAGACUCUAGAUGAGGUUGUCUCAAUUUACUGGUAUCUAGAAAACCUGAGGAAAUGAAGUCAGCCUUUGGAAAGUUACUAAUAAAGGAAAGUGCAGAACAGAGCCAUACUGAACUGUUCACUGGCUGGAGACUCACUACU